CGACUCCUCAGGGAAAUAUACUGAAGGAGAUCUACCCGGGCUUUUCACGCAGGCCAGCUCUUCACUGUCCUUGUUUCUCUUGCUGCUGAGCCUCCCGUCACCAACGGCAAACAAGAGCAGCACCGACAGCACUCAGCAGCGGCGCUGAGACCUGGGUUACAACCCACAUGGGCUAAAGCAGCCUCCUGCGCCCACCUUGGGAUGCUGGGAGAAAAAAACUCUCCCAAAAAGCCCUAACUCUGGAAGAUCUGCUCCUGGGGUCUCCACCCCAGAGUCUGGGGUUGGGGGACGUCCCCUGACCGGCUGCAGCAGACCCACCUUCCAUUGUCGCCUUCCUGCAGAGCCAGGCUUCUGUGAGAACCAAGCCUGAAGGGAGCACAGACUCCCAGAGAAGAGAGGAGUCACAAACUCGGGCAGAAAGGAUCCAAGAAGCCCUGUGGUUAACCCCUGCCUCCAGGGGAGAUGAGGCUAAAAUCCUGUGGAUCUGGCUGGCUCCUGACAUUGUAGCAGAGACGUCUCUGAAGGAGGAAGGAGGGACUUGGACAAGGACUGUGCUGUGGCCCCUGCUGGAGUAGGGAUGAGGCAAAGCCACCUACAGGGACAGCCUGGACUGACUCAUUCUGGAAAGAAGACAGAUGGGCUCCUUGGGGCUCCCAAGUCCUGUUGGCAGGGCUGACCUCUCAGCCUAACCUCAUCCAUCCAGGCUCCUCUGAGGGACUGGCCAGGCCUGGAGAAGUCAUUUGGGGAGUGUUUAAGAUCAGAAGAAAAAGAAAAUAGCCAGGAUCUGGGAGAUUCAUUAACUUUUCUGUGCUGUGUCCUGACACCUGGUUUUCCGUUGGGGAAAUUCAUGGAUGACUCUGCCUCCUUCUUGACCUCUGUGGUCCUGGCUGGGCCUCCUGACUUUGUUACUUCAGCUCAUCCUUCAGAAGACAACUGUGCACCUCUUCAGGAGUAAUAAUUUUUCUGGUUACUCGAUUGCAAGUUGAGAGGUUUUUUCCUCAGUGUGAUUCCACUGACUCUGGCCUCCGUCGUCCGCUGGGAAGUCCACGGUCAGUCUGAAGGCCCCGCCUUGGCAGCUGGAACUCACCUCGCAGCGGCCCUGUUUACUCACCUACCAGCUGCCUUCCUUAGAACCAGUUUUGUUCCUGUUCAGAAGGAAACCAGGCAGAGUUGGGAAAAUAUUUCCUCAGCCAGCUCCGCAGCCCCACUGUCUGGCGGAGGCCAUCUGGCCGGGAUGCACUCCGAGGGAGUAAACGCAGAAUUGCCCUCUCCCCGCACGACAGGGCAGAGAAGACGGCAGGUCCCAAGACGGGCUGCUACUGUGCUGAUUCUAACUCAUCUCCGGAAGUCCCCAGAGUCCAGCAGUGUGCUGGUGAUGUUUCACCACCGGCUCCCUGGGAGGGUGGAGGGUUGUCUGUGACGGCCGCCUAUGGACACACUCAGUCCCCUAAUUCUUCAAACUCAUCAGGACCUUUGAUACGUUGGACCUGAAGUCUAGUGUCCGUCACCCCCGCCCCCAUCCUGCCUUCACUUCUCU
This 1537-nucleotide long non-coding RNA is filed under the name Equus caballus (horse). Its description in RNAcentral is "lncRNA (ENSECAG00000051551.1)". Lineage: Eukaryota; Metazoa; Chordata; Mammalia; Perissodactyla; Equidae. The record is from RNAcentral.